CCGCACGCGCGCUACACUGACAGAGCCAGCGAGUUCUUUUCCUUGGCCGGAAGGUCUGGGUAAUCUUGUGAAACUCUGUCGUGCUGGGGAUAGAGCAUUGCAAUUAUUGCUCUUCAACGAGGAAUACCUAGUAAGCGUGAGUCAUCAGCUCGCGUUGAUUACGU
Molecule: ribosomal RNA, 164 nt
Filed under: uncultured eukaryote
Lineage: Eukaryota
Description: partial 18S ribosomal RNA
Rfam family: Eukaryotic small subunit ribosomal RNA
Source: RNAcentral